UAAUACAUGUAGAUACAAACCUCACAUUAGAAAUAAUAUGUUCCCAGCUCUGUAGACAAGGAAUGGAGGGAAGAUGUUAACUUGGUGAGCCCACAUGCUGGAGGAAAAGCAGGACAUUAGUAGGGGGGGGCAAAGGUGAUUAUUUUUCUGUUUGAGAAGAAAUAUUCUAGGGGUUAUCAGAGACUGAUCCCAGGUGACAAAGGAAGAAGGCAAUCUCUGAGCCUUGCUGGAUUCAUCUCUGAGUUUCAACACUCAGAUCUGUGUAUUGGCUCCAUACCCAUCUCUAGAUCCUGUGACUUCAGCUGAAGUGGUUAAGGUUUUCAACAAGAGCUUUGAUGGACACAGUACAGCUUAAUUUGAAGACACUUCUCUCAGCAAUAAUAACAUAGAUUUCUACUAUCAAGACCCAAAAACCCUGAUGGGCUAUAUAUACUACAGAGUUUUUAAUGAGUCAUUAGCAUUAUCAUUUAUUGCAACUAGAUGUCUGCUUGAGCUUGGAUCUUGAUAACCUAGAUCUACUUAACAGUGUUGAGUUUGGCUUUUGAAAUAAGUCUUAGAAUCCUUGUGUUCAAAAAGGCUUUAGAGCUAUUCUAAUCCCAAAAUGUUUCUUUCUCGGAAGUAGGAGAAAUCCCUGCAGCAGGGUUGAACAGCAAUAGCAGACUAUGGAGACUGCAAUGUUAUUUCUGUCUCUCCACCAAGCUGGUUAGACACCUAACAAAGCAAUUCCAGUGGUGGAACCAAGGAUCUACUCAAGCUCCUGGUAGAAAUGGAGCACCUCCUGCCCCUGGAUGCAGCAUUGAAACCACGGGCACACCAUGCUGCCUUCCUGACCACUCCUCCCCUCUCGCUGCAGCAGCAAGUUUUGCUCACUGAUCACCCUAUAUGCAAGCUUUUAGGAAGAAUUUUGUUCUUCUAGCAUGCAAUUGAAGAAGAAUCAAAAAACCUUUACAAAGACACUGCAAUGACUUUUUGAAGGUAAGUUUUGAUGAGCCUCUCAGUUUGUCAUUUCUUUUCUACAUACUUAGG
Molecule: long non-coding RNA, 1026 nt
Filed under: Cyanistes caeruleus (blue tit)
Lineage: Eukaryota; Metazoa; Chordata; Aves; Passeriformes; Paridae
Description: lncRNA (ENSCCEG00000001041.1)
Source: RNAcentral